GCGUUUGACCUCAAAUCAGGUAGGAUUACCCGG
This 33-nucleotide ribosomal RNA is filed under the name Hyphoderma setigerum. RNAcentral describes it as "partial 28S ribosomal RNA". The record is from RNAcentral. Lineage: Eukaryota; Fungi; Basidiomycota; Agaricomycetes; Polyporales; Hyphodermataceae.